AACGAAACACACAACGAAACUGAACUGAAAUCCCUUUUUGUUAAUUCUCAGAAAUUAAAACACAAUUUGGUAAGUUGNNNNNNNNNNNNNUUAUACAUAUCUUUGUGUACCUACAGACUUACCCACAGACAGAGAGACAGCAAGACACACGUAUGAAUGUGUGUUUGUACAACUUGUUUUGCCUCGUGGCUUCGUGGUUAUUUUUUUGAAUGCCUCAAAAGGUUUGUUAUGCGGCGCGCCCCAAAAAAGAUAUAGAAAUAAUGUUACCAACACCAACAACAACAACAUCGCAUUCACUUUAUGGGCAGCACCACGCACAAGUUGUUGUUGUUGUUGUUAUUAAUCCCAUAAAGUUUAUUAAGUAAUCCAAUUUGGUUAAAUUAGCUGUGUCUCGUUUCUUCGUUAUUUCGGAUUUUAAUUGAGUUUCAGUUUCAGUUUCAGUUUCGGUUUUGGCUUUGCCUGGAGUCGCAGUUGGAGUUGGAGUUGGAGUUGGAUCCCCCUCCUGCCCAAGGGCUUCUCUCUUGUUGCGCUCAUUAUCGAAGUAUCAGAGUCUCACCGCUCACCAAUCACCAAUCACUGAUCGAUGGCCAGCAUAAUGCAAAUUGUCAAGGCAGGAAUUCUUCUCUUGAUGCUCGCUCAUCCUCAAAGCCAGAGGGCUGAGGGCAUUGCAGAGUUCAAGAUCGGCGUGGAUCGGGACGUGCCAUAUCGGCGAGUGUUCCCUCCAUAUCUCGGUGUUCUGUUUAAUGUGUGUUUCCUGGAAGAUUAAUACGGCAAAAUUAAGGAAAAUAAAUAAAUGUCAACGCUGUACAA
Molecule: long non-coding RNA, 810 nt
Filed under: Drosophila guanche
Lineage: Eukaryota; Metazoa; Arthropoda; Insecta; Diptera; Drosophilidae
Source: RNAcentral